Molecule: unclassified non-coding RNA, 1756 nt
Filed under: Hevea brasiliensis (rubber tree)
Lineage: Eukaryota; Viridiplantae; Streptophyta; Magnoliopsida; Malpighiales; Euphorbiaceae
Source: RNAcentral
UCAAAGCAUCAUAUUUGCCGAGGCAUCUCAAACAUUUUUCCAAUUUCUUGCGAAAGAAAGACAAAUGGUAGUGGAGCUCUUCGUCUCGUUUUCCCUUCUGUUUCUUUCACUUUUCUUUAUCUUCUCCAUAACCAAAUCCUCCAAAUCCAAGACACCCAUCUCAACCCAUCUUUCAAAAUCAUAUCCUUUGAUAGGUAACUAUCUCGAUAUAAGGGCAAACUGGAACCAUCGAGUCCAAUGGACAUCUGAUCUUCUCCAGAACUCGCCCUCUGCAACCUACGUCCUGCAUCGACCUCUGGGUGCCCGUGCCAUUUUAACUGCAAACCCAGCCAACGUCCAACACAUUCUCAAGACUCACUUUCACCUCUACCAGAAAGGUGAACUCUUUCGAAGCACUCUCUUUGAUUUUCUUGGCAAUGGAAUCUUUAACGCCGAUGGUAACACCUGGAAGUUUCAAAGGCAAGUUGCCAGCCACGAAUUCAAUACUAAAUCUUUGCGUAAAUUUGUUGAGACCGUCGUGGAUACUGAACUCUACGAACGCCUAAUCCCAAUUCUUUCUUCUGCCGCCGCUAAUGGAACGGUUCUUGAUUUUCAAGAUAUUCUCCAAAGAUUUGCCUUCGAUAACAUAUGCAAGAUCGCUUUUGGGUAUGAUCCUGCAUACCUCUUACCUUCUCUCCCGCGAGCUAAGUUUGCACAAGCUUUCGAAGACAGCGUCAGGAUAAGCAGCGAUAGGUUCAAUUCUUUGUUCUGGAAAAUCAAAAGGGCUUUCGGUAUUGGAUCGGAAAAACGUCUCCGAGAAGCCAUGUCUGAAGUACGCCAUUUUGCUGUGAACCUAGUCAAGGAAAAGAAGGAAGAACUCAAGGAGAACUCGUCCAUUGAAUCCGUCGAUCUCUUAUCCCGAUUCUUGAGCUCCGGCCAUUCGGAUGAGACCUUCAUCGUUGACAUCGUGAUUAGCUUCAUACUAGCUGGCCGCGACACGACGUCUGCGGCCUUAACAUGGUUUUUCUGGUUGCUCUCUAAACACCCAGAAGUAGAAAUAAACAUUAUCAAAGAGAUACAUGAGAAAUCAGAGAUGCCCGUUUUCGAAGAAGUGAAGGACAUGGUUUACACCCAUGCGUCUUUGUGUGAGAGCAUGAGGCUGUACCCUCCUGUCCCAACAGACACCAAACUGGCAGUAGGCGAUGACAUUUUGCCAGACGGUACUCCGGUGACCAAGGGAAACAGAGUUACGUACCAUCCAUACGCAAUGGGUAGGCUAGAGACGCUGUGGGGUGUGGAUUGGGCCGAUUACAAGCCAGAGAGGUGGCUGGAGAGAGAUACAACGAGCGAGAAAUGGAAUUUCGUGGGGAGAGAUACGUAUACCUACCCAGUAUUUCAGGCCGGACCCAGGAUUUGUUUGGGGAAGGAAAUGGCCUUCUUGCAAAUGAAGAGGGUGGUUGCUGGUGUCUUAAGUCGGUUUAAGGUGGUACCAGCGGCGGGGGAUGGCGUUGAGCCGGAAUUUGUUUCGUAUCUGACUGCGAAAAUGAUGGGUGGCUUCCCCGUGAAGAUUGAGGAAAGGGUAAAGUGAUGUGCAAAAAGGAUUGAUGAGUUUGGCUUUUUUAUUAGUUUAAUAUUUAGAAGGUUUGUUGAGUUAAUUACUCUAAGCUUCAAGAUUAUGUAGGAAGUUUAAUGUUAAUUGGUGUAUUAUUUUAAAAAUUAGAUUAUUAAGGUUGUAUACUUCUCAAAUAUUGCUCAAGUAGAAAUUGAUUUCUCAGCA